GGGUGAGUAACGCGUAUCCAACCUGCCCGCCACUUGGGGAUAACCUUGCGAAAGUAAGACUAAUACCCAAUGAUAUCUCUAGAAGGCAUCUGAAAGAGAUUAAAGAUUUAUCGGUGAUGGAUGGGGAUGCGUCUGAUUAGCUUGUUGGCGGGGUAACGGCCCACCAAGGCAACGAUCAGUAGGGGUUCUGAGAGGAAGGUCCCCCACAUUGGAACUGAGACACGGUCCAAACUCCUACGGGAGGCAGCAGUGAGGAAUAUUGGUCAAUGGACGAGAGUCUGAACCAGCCAAGUAGCGUGCAGGAUGACGGCCCUAUGGGUUGUAAACUGCUUUUAUAAGGGAAUAAAGUGAGUCUCGUGAGACUUUUUGCAUGUACCUUAUGAAUAAGGACCGGCUAAUUCCGUGCCAGCAGCCGCGGUAAUACGGAAGGUCCGGGCGUUAUCCGGAUUUAUUGGGUUUAAAGGGAGCGUAGGCCGGAGAUUAAGCGUGUUGUGAAAUGUAGAUGCUCAACAUCUGAACUGCAGCGCGAACUGGUUUCCUUGAGUACGCACAAAGUGGGCGGAAUUCGUGGUGUAGCGGUGAAAUGCUUAGAUAUCACGAAGAACUCCGAUUGCGAAGGCAGCUCACUGGAGCGCAACUGACGCUGAAGCUCGAAAGUGCGGGUAUCGAACAGGAUUAGAUACCCUGGUAGUCCGCACGGUAAACGAUGGAUGCCCGCUGUUGGUCUGAAUAGGUCAGCGGCCAAG
This 746-nucleotide ribosomal RNA is filed under the name uncultured bacterium. Its description in RNAcentral is "bacterial SSU rRNA". It matches the Rfam family "Bacterial small subunit ribosomal RNA", at positions 104 to 851 of the family's 1533-position model. The record is from RNAcentral.